AUAAUCAAUUGUUUUUUAAUUGAAAACUUGUAUGAAAGAAUUGAUGAGAUAAAAAUUGUUUCAAUAGUUAAAUAUGAAUUUAAAUUUUAGGUUAAAAUGCUUAAAUAUUUUUAUUAGACGAAAAGACCCUAUAGAAUUUUAUAAAAUUAAGGUAAAGUAAAUAAAAUGUAAAAUUAUUUAUUUUAUUUUUUUAUAUUUAGUUGGGAGGAUUAUAAAAUUUAAUUAACUUUUAAUUUAUUUAAAAACAUUGAUAAAUGAAUAUUAAGAUUAUUAUUAUAAUUAAAAGAAAAAAUUACCUUA
This 300-nucleotide ribosomal RNA is filed under the name Ancistrocerus oviventris. RNAcentral's name for it is "partial 16S ribosomal RNA". Lineage: Eukaryota; Metazoa; Arthropoda; Insecta; Hymenoptera; Vespidae. The record is from RNAcentral.